This 735-nucleotide ribosomal RNA is filed under the name Pseudarthrobacter sp. RNAcentral describes it as "bacterial SSU rRNA". It matches the Rfam family "Bacterial small subunit ribosomal RNA", at positions 70 to 818 of the family's 1533-position model. Lineage: Bacteria; Bacillati; Actinomycetota; Actinomycetes; Micrococcales; Micrococcaceae. The record is from RNAcentral.
UGAUCCCAGCUUGCUGGGGGAUUAGUGGCGAACGGGUGAGUAACACGUGAGUAACCUGCCCUUGACUCUGGGAUAAGCCUGGGAAACUGGGUCUAAUACCGGAUAUGACCUUCCAUCGCAUGGUGGUUGGUGGAAAGCUUUUGUGGUUUUGGAUGGACUCGCGGCCUAUCAGCUUGUUGGUGAGGUAAUGGCUUACCAAGGCGACGACGGGUAGCCGGCCUGAGAGGGUGACCGGCCACACUGGGACUGAGACACGGCCCAGACUCCUACGGGAGGCAGCAGUGGGGAAUAUUGCACAAUGGGCGCAAGCCUGAUGCAGCGACGCCGCGUGAGGGAUGACGGCCUUCGGGUUGUAAACCUCUUUCAGUAGGGAAGAAGCCGCAAGGUGACGGUACCUGCAGAAGAAGCGCCGGCUAACUACGUGCCAGCAGCCGCGGUAAUACGUAGGGCGCAAGCGUUAUCCGGAAUUAUUGGGCGUAAAGAGCUCGUAGGCGGUUUGUCGCGUCUGCCGUGAAAGUCCGGGGCUCAACUCCGGAUCUGCGGUGGGUACGGGCAGACUAGAGUGAUGUAGGGGAGACUGGAAUUCCUGGUGUAGCGGUGAAAUGCGCAGAUAUCAGGAGGAACACCGAUGGCGAAGGCAGGUCUCUGGGCAUUAACUGACGCUGAGGAGCGAAAGCAUGGGGAGCGAACAGGAUUAGAUACCCUGGUAGUCCAUGCCGUAAACGUUGGGCACUA